Molecule: ribosomal RNA, 1405 nt
Filed under: Salmonella enterica subsp. enterica serovar Kentucky
Lineage: Bacteria; Pseudomonadati; Pseudomonadota; Gammaproteobacteria; Enterobacterales; Enterobacteriaceae
Description: bacterial LSU rRNA
Rfam family: Bacterial large subunit ribosomal RNA
Source: RNAcentral
CUGAGGCGUGAUGACGAGGCACUACGGUGCUGAAGCAACAAAUGCCCUGCUUCCAGGAAAAGCCUCUAAGCAUCAGGUAACAUCAAAUCGUACCCCAAACCGACACAGGUGGUCAGGUAGAGAAUACCAAGGCGCUUGAGAGAACUCGGGUGAAGGAACUAGGCAAAAUGGUGCCGUAACUUCGGGAGAAGGCACGCUGACACGUAGGUGAAGUGAUUUACUCACGGAGCUGAAGUCAGUCGAAGAUACCAGCUGGCUGCAACUGUUUAUUAAAAACACAGCACUGUGCAAACACGAAAGUGGACGUAUACGGUGUGACGCCUGCCCGGUGCCGGAAGGUUAAUUGAUGGGGUCAGCGCAAGCGAAGCUCCUGAUCGAAGCCCCGGUAAACGGCGGCCGUAACUAUAACGGUCCUAAGGUAGCGAAAUUCCUUGUCGGGUAAGUUCCGACCUGCACGAAUGGCGUAAUGAUGGCCAGGCUGUCUCCACCCGAGACUCAGUGAAAUUGAACUCGCUGUGAAGAUGCAGUGUACCCGCGGCAAGACGGAAAGACCCCGUGAACCUUUACUAUAGCUUGACACUGAACAUUGAGCCUUGAUGUGUAGGAUAGGUGGGAGGCUUUGAAGUGUGGACGCCAGUCUGCAUGGAGCCGACCUUGAAAUACCACCCUUUAAUGUUUGAUGUUCUAACGUGGACCCGUAAUCCGGGUUGCGGACAGUGUCUGGUGGGUAGUUUGACUGGGGCGGUCUCCUCCUAAAGAGUAACGGAGGAGCACGAAGGUUGGCUAAUCCUGGUCGGACAUCAGGAGGUUAGUGCAAUGGCAUAAGCCAGCUUGACUGCGAGCGUGACGGCGCGAGCAGGUGCGAAAGCAGGUCAUAGUGAUCCGGUGGUUCUGAAUGGAAGGGCCAUCGCUCAACGGAUAAAAGGUACUCCGGGGAUAACAGGCUGAUACCGCCCAAGAGUUCAUAUCGACGGCGGUGUUUGGCACCUCGAUGUCGGCUCAUCACAUCCUGGGGCUGAAGUAGGUCCCAAGGGUAUGGCUGUUCGCCAUUUAAAGUGGUACGCGAGCUGGGUUUAGAACGUCGUGAGACAGUUCGGUCCCUAUCUGCCGUGGGCGCUGGAGAACUGAGGGGGGCUGCUCCUAGUACGAGAGGACCGGAGUGGACGCAUCACUGGUGUUCGGGUUGUCAUGCCAAUGGCACUGCCCGGUAGCUAAAUGCGGAAGAGAUAAGUGCUGAAAGCAUCUAAGCACGAAACUUGCCCCGAGAUGAGUUCUCCCUGAGACUUUAAGUCUCCUGAAGGAACGUUGAAGACGACGACGUUGAUAGGCCGGGUGUGUAAGCGCAGCGAUGCGUUGAGCUAACCGGUACUAAUGAACCGUGAGGCUUAACCUUACAACGCCGAAG